CGGCCUAACCGUUGGGAAGAGCUGUCGAAGGUGGGAUCGGCGAUUGGGGUG
This 51-nucleotide ribosomal RNA is filed under the name uncultured bacterium. Its description in RNAcentral is "partial 16S ribosomal RNA". The record is from RNAcentral.